Long non-coding RNA from Tigriopus californicus, 2615 nucleotides. RefSeq lists it as uncharacterized. The record is from RefSeq and is a predicted model, not a curated record. The transcript has 2 exons. NCBI's taxonomy places the organism in Eukaryota, Metazoa, Arthropoda, Copepoda, Harpacticoida, Harpacticidae.
UGCCACUUCAUCGGGUGAACACCACACAGUCAUAAGACUCUUAAGCUGUAGUUGACAAACGGCUGCGCUAGUUUUAGUCAGUGGAAUAAAGGUUGAUUUGUCCCGUCAAAUUCCAUACAAUAAAAGAUAUCGUCUGUGUCCGAAGGAGCUUCUACAUCUGCUCCUGUCAGCGAAGGAGGGAGGGAUGGGUGCAGCGACGACCGAUCUCCAAGUUUCGAGGCAGAGGUUAACAAGAACGAUUCGCAGAUCGAUGUCGACCAAGCUGUCUUUCAAUCCACCCUCAAGCCCCACCGACGCCACCGCCAUCUAAACUUUCAGUUCCUCCUUUCACCUCGAAGAAGGAGCAGAAGAAGAAGAAGAGCAAUAAGAACACAGAGACGAAGAAGAACUGCAAGAAGUCAAAAAGAACGGGGAAGACGAGGACAGAGAGGACGAACACGAACACCAGAGGCCGGACGAAGAAGGGGAGAAGAAGCAAGAAAAGGAGGAGGAGGAGGAGGAGGAGGAGGUGGUGGUAGUGGUGGUGGUGGACAAGAUGAUCGUGAUCAGGGAAGUGCUGAACGUCGUGGCCAAGGCAAACGAGGAACAGGUCGCUCUUGUCAAGCCUGCUUGGCAACGCAAAAGUUUCAGAAAGUAUGUUUGCAACUGUCUCAAUUCCUCACGAUAUCACCGAAAUCCGCGCGGGACGACGUUGCUCCUUGGGCUAAACGAAGGGCAGGAAAGCCAUUUGAUUAUUUUGCGCUCUAAUUAAGCACGUUGAAUAUUGGCAGGCCUUGCUGACUGACUAAUAUCGGUAAGGUCUUCGAAGAUUGCGGCGACCAGGACCAAACACACUUUGAUCGCGGUUUGUAAGGGCAGCCCGUAUAAGACCGAGAUACAGUAACUCUACGGGUACUGCAGUGCUGUAUUAAGAAGCGUUUAAAACAAAAAAAACAAAUCUUUUCUCCCAGUCGAUCUCAGCACAUGCUCUGUUGGCACUACAGAUUCAAGAAUUCCUAAUUGAGACGGCAAAGUGCACCAAGUUGUACUUAUCUUUGGGAAGUAUUUCAAGCAUCUCAAAUUAGGCAAGUAAUCAGUUUGGUGAACUGCUUGGAUGGACUUGUCAGCCAGAAUUGAACGGCAUUGAACAUCAUGGAACUUCUCCAGGGCGUUAUGUUGUAUUGCAGGGAUUGGAACAUUGCCUUGUAUGUACUUCGUGUACUCGGUUUAUUCGUAAUAAGUAUGCAGCAAUUCCCUGGCCUUGACUGCAUAUUUCCAAGCUCAUGCAUUACGUCAAGCUCCAUGAAAGCUGUCAAAAUCCAAUGAAAAUAUCAUCCCCCAAGCCAUGACAAAUAUGUUCAUGCCUUUCCAAGACGCAAUUAAGAUUUUGAGUUCCGGAAAACAAGUCCCACUCCAAUUUCGUCCAGAAAGAAGGUUCUGAUGGACUUGUCACUGCAUAAACAUAACACACAUGAUACCUAAAGGCUCAGCCUUGCCUUGAUCAAGCCGAUUACAAGUGCUACUCUUUUCUUUAGCAAGGCACCUUUGUCUGAUUUAUCACAUCGACAACACUAGUACCACUCUCUCCCCCUUUCUUUCUCUGGCUUGGUGUGUGCUUAAUGAGAGACCAGGAUUUUCAAAGUCUCGUUUUGUUUAUACGAGCAGCACGCUCAUCAGGCGUUUCCAAUCGAAAAUGGUCUUCGCAUAUGUCGACGGCUGCCCCGGUAUUUCGCACCAUAGAUUCCCAACUUGCACGAACUAUUUAUGAGUACACUGUCGAUGGAGGCUUGGUGGUCCCAAGGAGCGAGUCUUUCCUCUUGAACUAGCUCGAAUAAUAACGUCGUGGACUUACUACUUGGCUGGUAUCUUUGGGAGGUGAAAAUCGUUGGUUGCAGACGAGGGGAAAAUUCGAGCGAGACGUCGUGUUAUCGGGCCUAGCAGCUCCCAGGCUUCUUAAUAACCACAUAUCAAAAGAGCAAAGCACAAAAAGCCAUCUUGUUGACAUUUAUGAUUCGAGCAAAUAAUUUCGCCUCGCUGUGGUUCUCAGAUCUCGGCUCUCAAUUCUUGAGAGUGGCUGGCUGGAAGCAAAGGAGAUGAGAAAGAAAAAGGGCCCCUUAGGCUAACCCAAGCCCCCCAACCUGACUCAAUCAACGACGACAGCAACAACAACAACAACUACAGCCAAGCAUCCACAACAACAGCACUAGCUCGCUGAAGGUCUUGUUCUGCGGCUCCCUCUCCUUCCCCACCUAUCAACCUGGCCAUAAGUUCAAGAAAAAAUGGUUCGUCGCUCUCCAAGAGUGAUGGUGUCACUAAAUCAUACAUUCGAUCAAAUGUUCGGCCCUUCAGUUGGAUCUAGUUGCAUUGUCAACCGACUCCUCCAAAAGGGAAGGGUUGAACUCUUCAACCGCCUCUCGACCAUAACAAGAUUCUUGUCAUCAAGAAAGGCGAAUGCUUUGACAAUAAACAGACUCACGAGGUGAAAUGAGGUGCAAAAUCCUGCCCUCGAGCCAUUCUGGACGGAUAUUUGAAUGCACAUAAACCCACCGUGGGCCUUCUCUAUGUCGUUGGGAAAGAGAAAGAGAGAGAGAGAGAGAAAAAAAAAGAUAGAUAGAGAUGGAGAGAGAGAGAGAGAG